This 22008-nucleotide long non-coding RNA is filed under the name Fragaria vesca (wild strawberry). RNAcentral describes it as "long non-coding RNA (FVES_LNC003568)". Lineage: Eukaryota; Viridiplantae; Streptophyta; Magnoliopsida; Rosales; Rosaceae. The record is from RNAcentral.
UAUAUCCUAUCCUAAUCUUUGACACUAAUCUACCGAUCCUAGAAACCUAGACCUUAGCAGUAGGGCUGGUCUUCACUCAAUCAGUCGGAGAUACACCUGGUAAGCCAACAUUGAUCAUUAUUUCACGUUUUCAACUACUAUAAAGCAAGGUGGUUUGGUGUCAAAGGCUUCACCUAGUUUAGUUUACCUGUUAUACACUGGCACAUAUGGUGCAAGAACUUAACUAUAACAUUCUAUAGCACAAAGAUAUUGUUCUUUGCAGUUUACAUAGUACUAGUUCACAGGUGUGGAACAAUAUCAGCAUGGACAGAAGCUAUUUCAGCUUCUUCUGCUAAAGUUAUUUCAGCUUUUUACUGAAGUCAGAAAGCUGAAGAAUCUGAAUACUGGAAAUACUAGCAGCUUCUUCCCUCUCUUUUUGUGUAUUGUACCCCCAAUCCCCUAAUCGAAAACACAAAUUAGCAACCAAAGAAAGUGAGUACCACAAAAUACAAAUCCACAAUAAUGCAAAGCAAACACAGCAAUGAUACUAAACCAUUUAGCAGUAUCUUGUAAUACUAAAGGGAGAAAGUAAAGAGGAAUUUUACCUAGAUAGAGAUUCCAACCAUUUAAUUCGGGUUCUCCGAUGACAUUCUUCAGGGUUGCCAGUCUAUCUUCCAAAAAGCUGGUAAAAGUUGCAUAAUUUUUCUCAUUCAGAUUAACUAUGAUAGAGUAAUGAGAAGGAGGAUAUCCAGCGUAGCAGUGCAGAAUUUAGUCAAAAGCUUCAAUAAUGGAGUCAAGAUCAUUAUAUUGGAACAUCUUCUACACUACUACUAUUAGAUAUUAAGUGGAAAAGUAUCUUACUGAAGUUUAAGCCCCUGAUGUUUCUUCUGAAGUUGCUUCAAAACUUCUACCUUUGGACUGCAAGGGGAUUAAAAAGUGAGUAUUGUUCUACAUCAUCGAAAGCAAGCCACAGGCAUAAGUGUGAAACUACCAAAUACAGACUAUCAUUAAGUUAUUAGACUAACCCAGAUCCUAGACCAAAAAUUCUAUCAGGCGGUAUUGUAACUCCUGCUAGUUCUCGCAAGAAAGCAUCAGCAAAUCGGCUCUGCAUAGAAAAGAAACAGAAACUAACAUUGUGGGAAAAUACCAGAAGGAAAAGUCUAAUCUACAAAGAAACUGAGCUAACUGCUCAUUAUGAAAUGUGUCAACGACCGACUACAGAGCUAACCGGAAUUUCAAUCACGUAACUCAAAUUGUAUCAGCACUAUCUUUCCCUGCUUUUGUCCUCUUCAUUUAGGGGAAAGUAAAAUUCACAAAAUACUCCAAUGUCAUAUCUAAUGCUUGGAUUAAUUGGUUACACACCUGUUUUGUGGUGACAACAUAUAUGGUAGAGCUUGUGAAUUUUAGAGCAUCAGGAACACCCGGAUAUAAUCUGCAAGCAAAGCCUCUCCCAUUCAGUCAUGAAAUAACAUUCAACUAUAAACCAAAACUAUGUUACCUAUAACUAAAUUAAACAAGCCUCCGAAUUUCGCUUCAGAUUGUUUGAUCAAGCAUUUCAAAUUGGGGGCACCUCACCUAUUUGCACCAAUCCAAGUUUUCAAGUCAUGGUCCAUCCACUCAUCCCUGACCUUCGCGAAAAAAAUCUAUAAGCCCAUCCCUGUCCUCACCCCAUUCCUCCAUAAUCACAGGCUUCAACUCUGACCACUUCUCCAAUAUCCCCUCCACUGUGAGCCCUUCACCGACUGAUGACUUCCUUAUAGAAGGAACCCUCAUCUCCAGAAGUAACCUCACAAGUAGAAGAUUCUCGUACCCGGUUUCCACCACAGGCCUCACCUAAUUCAUCAUCAUUCGUUUCUCCACAAUUAGACAAAUCAAAUAUUACAUGGGUUUUGUGUGAUUAAGCAUAUUACGGACUUACAAUGCGCAUUUGAUCAAGAACCCAAUUCUCCAAAGUUGAAUCCACACCGUUGAACAGAGCUGGCCAUCUGACUUUAGCAGCCUACAGAUUACCAUUCAAGGAAAGUAAACAAGUUGUGAAGUGAAAAGCUUGGGGGUUUUGGAAUGGUUUGAUCGAAGUCAAUACCUUCAUGGUAGAGAGAGAGCUCUCUCCGCAGCUAUCACAGAUGACUCCGUCGAAAUCCAAAGCGUAUAGAUCACCCAUUUCUGAGUCUCUAGCUUCUGUGUCUGACGGAGGGUCUUUGAGUUCAAAUGCUCCUACAGCUUCAAUUGGUCCCACGACGGCGUUUUACAGGAUGACACAGUUGUAUAUAUACUUUGCCUAAACACCGGAGCACACGUAACAACCUUAAUUAUAAGGAGGUUUAAAUUAUAGCCCAACAUACAUAUAGCCCCAUAUAUUUCACUUUGAUUAGUCGCAUUAGGAGUAUUAUAGUUAUUGAAGGGCGACAAAUUCAAGACCGUCUUUAUAAAUAUAUAAGUAUCUCCGCUCAUUUAUGAUAAACCAUCAUAUUUCAUCUUCUCAUACUUCUCUUUAAAUUUUUUUUAUAUACCGAUUUAAACGUCAGAGAGUAAAAUGUCAGCAACCAUAAUCUUCUAUUCUAACGCUAAUUUAAGGUGAAAGGUCAAAGAUGGUGAGCUUCCUGCAUUUCGGUAAUUAGCGGUAAAGCUCAACAGAGAAAGGAAAAAAAAAGGGUGAAAGUGUGUCACGGAACAACGACAGUGAUUAGUACAGUGACCAUAAGUGGCACUGUAAUAAUUGUCUAUGGUUUCGUCAAUUCUGCUAUAAGUGAGAAAGAGCGAACUAUAUGAGAAGAAAACGCAUGACACAAAAUAUUUGAUUUUUGGACCGAAACUUUAUUUCAAGGCUCAAACCACAUCGGCAAACCCGUAGAUGAUUUGCUAGGAUUUCGUAAGAACAUGUCCACCCCUAUGUCAAAAGCCUAACUUGGGACUUCAGCCACCUCAUUUUAUGACCCAGCUUCAAAAAUUGCAUAUCCACCCAUGAAAAAUAAUCUAUGAUACGAUCUUAACUUAAUUAUGCAUUAUGAACUUAUUAAUUUGUUAUUGAAUGAUGUGUAGAGUCACAAACAAGGUCAAAUCAGCUUAAAUCAAACGGAAAGAAGUAUUUGAUGAAGCCGGAUAUAGAUUUGUGGUUGUCCAAAAAUGGACUCUCUAACUUGAAAUCCAUGACCAAGGACUCCAGGGACCUGAAGACAAUGGCCAAAAAGAAGGCUAUAAAGACGGUGAUCAUUGAAAACUCAGCCAAACUUGAAGAAAACAGAAGUAUUGAUGUGCGGAACAUCAUUUCUAUCAUUCCUAUAAAAUUCAAAAGAAGCAUCGUCCGCCUUCUCUGUAUGGUAAGUAUUUACAUGAAUCUAUUAUCCUUCAGCACUCAAAGAUGUUAAAGUAUCAACUACUGAAUUAUAUCAACACAUAGGUUCCAAUGCUUGAAAAUUUGAAUGAAAUAAUGUUGAAAGUGAUUUGUGAGCAUUUGAAGCCAGUCAUUUACGCUGAAGACAACUAUAUUGUUCAAGAAGGCAAACCACUUGGUAUGAUGAUGUUCAUCACACAAGGACUUGCAUGGAGCUACACAACCAAAAACAUCAAUUGUGGACGACCAAGCUUUGAUUCCUCAAGCAAUGAGUGGUUAAAACAAAGUGAUUUUUACGAAGAAGAGCUGUUGAAUUGAGCAUUCAAGUCUCCCUCUUUUUCUGGCUUACCCUUUUCCUCUAGAACCAUUAUGUCUCGAGAAAAAGUCGAAGCGUUUGCUCUAAGGGCUAGGGACAUGAAGAGUAUAGUUUGCAAAUUCUUGUGGCAUUUUACCAAAGAACUCGAACAAGUGGAUUUAGAGCGGUGGGAGAAUUCAGCAGCUUCUUCAAUACAAGCAACCUGACACAACCGUUUGGAAAGGGCUAAGCAUUCAAAUCGCUGGGACAAAUUUACCACACAUUAUUAGUGUAUAUUACGUAAGUACUACUAAAACAAAGGCUUUUCACUUUAUUGUUAUUUUUAUUUUAGGUGUUGCAAGACUUCUUUUUUUUUUUAAUUGAGUUGUUGUCUAGUGAGUAGUGACUACUUUUUAUAUGUUCAGUUUCCAUGGAGUCAUUUCAGAUAUAGAAAUCCAAUAAUAAAGUUAAUAGCUUGUGUAUACCAUUCCAAUCUAGAGUUAUCAACAUUUUCAGUAGUUGGAUUUCAGAUGACCAGUUAUUUCAAAUUCAUAUCUAAUAUAUUGCAUCUACUCAUUUCAAUUACCUUAUGUCUAGUAGUUUGCUAUAUUCUGUUUCCUGAACAAAACUUGCCUUGUUGUUAACCAAAAUUUGCAGAUUUGGGAUCAUUUCAUCCAGCUGAAAUGGUUUUUGUGUCUUGUCAAUAGUAGUACAUAGUCUGAAUAAAGUUGUUCCUCAAGGCUGGUGGCUGUUAAGAUAUAAAUCUCAUAUCAGGAAUAUGAGACUUUAUAUGUGGGUUUAUAAGGGUUUGAGCAGUUUCAUCUAUUGCAAUUGGUUUUGGAUGUGAACCCCAAACUACUUUAUAAUGGUAUCAGAGAGGGUUAUCCACGUCCACAUGUGAAGCCUAAAUGUCACACGAACUCCAUGUCACCCUAAAUGUUGUCUACGUGUUAGGCUUGAAAAUUCCCUACACAUGCAGAUAUAAAUCUCAUAUCUGGAAUAUGAGACCUUGUCUGUGGGUUUAUAACGGUUUGGACCGUUUCAUCCUUUGCCAAUUGGUUUUAGAUGUGAACCUUAGACUACUUUAUCAGUGGCGUCCUCAUUAUAUCAUUUAGGAAAAAGGAAAAGCAUUUGCAUGAACUAGAACAUCUCCUUGAUGUAUUUUCCAGCCUGAAAAUAUUCAGAAUUUAAAUGAGAAAUUACAAUUUUGAUACACCUAUGGUAAUGUAUUCAGAAUAAAAUAGAUAAUUUAAUGCCAAUGAAAUAGUUAAAGCUACAACCAGAUCCAUGAAUUAUUACAUAAUAAUAUCUCUGGUGAAAGGUUUGCGAUAUUUUUAGAGGAGGUGGUGAAAGAUGGACCAGAAACAACAGUACGUACCACUGAAGUCUAUAGUGGAUGAGCAUGAUCUGAUUAUAGUUGGAAGAAGGUUUCAGGUGGAGUGCCCUCAGACUGCAGGACUUACAGAAUGGAGUGACUUUCCCGAACUAGGGACUAUGGGAGACCUACUUGCAUCACCUGAUCUAAAUUAUAAAGCUUCUAUUUUAGUGAUAAAACAUCAACAACAGAUCACUUAAUUGAAGCUUUUGCAGAUCAUGUUAAAUUGAUAAUUUUAGGAAUUUGGAAUUUUUUCACCGUUUUAAUUUUCAAAUUUGAUUUUUGUUUAUAUCUUUUCACUUAGCGCUUGAACUGAAAAGGAUAUUUCACGAAACUUCACUGGAUUUUAAAGUUCUAGGUUCCAAUUUCAGCUAAAUCGUUCAAUAUAUACUAGACAUCCGACUGGUUCUCUUGUCCAUCUUCAUGUCCUUAAAACUGUAACACACUAUACCAUUACACUUCCAAAAUUCAACUUGUAGCUCUUGAAGGUGGUCUUCCCGUGUACUAAUGUAAUGCUGAAGAAGAAACAAAUAAAGAAGAAAAUCAAUAUAUGAAACAGAGGAUACUUAAUCCCAAAACAGGGUAAAUCUGGAGACCUUAGAUAACAAUACAGUUCAGACUCACCCUUUUUUGUUUCAUAUUCCUCUUCUCAUAAUGUAAUGAUAUGCAUGCUGAUUUAUACUCGUGUUGCUUACUGGUCGAUCACGUUGCAAAACUACAUACCACGAACAAUACGUCUUUACUGGGAAAUACCCUACUGUACUGGUACUAGUUGUAACGAAUCGAUGGAAAAUUCUAGUAUACCAUAUAUUAUAGCAUGUCUCAUAAAAUGUGUGUUAUCAUUGAUUGAAGAAGUAACUAAAUGAUCAUGUAAUGACCAUUUACCCCUUUCAAAAGCCCACAUGUGUCAUAUAAUUAGACACAUUUGCAAUAGACAUGUCAUACCAUAUGGUAUUAGACAUUUAGUGGUUGACCCAUGUCUCACAAAAUGUGUGUUAUCAUUGAUUGAAGCAGCAACUAAAUAAUCAUGUAAUGACCAUUUACCCUCUUCAAAAGCCCACAUGUGUCAUACAAUUAGACACAUUUGUAAUAAACAUGCCAUAUCAUAUGGUAUGAUAGACAAUUUAGUGGUUGACCCAUCUAUUCCAAGUCUUCCUAGUUCCUUGAUAAGUUUUGCUACUGGUUAUCAUCUAUUCAAUGUCUUUGCUCUAUAAUACUGCUUCCUAUGAUCGAUAAGUCAGUCAUCUUUGGAAAACAACAUCAUGCCACUAGUCCCUAAUGGAAAGAGAAUGAUCAAAUUGAGUCACUUGUCGUUUGUAAGGAAGCAACAAGUCAACUAAAGAGUGCUCAUCUUGAUCAUAUAUUCUGUGGCUCGAAUGAACUUACAGUAUAAAACGAGGAUUAGUUAGUAUUAAGGACAAUGGAUACGGGAAAUUGAAUUCAGUUCAUAUUCGGAAGCUAGAGUUGAUGCUGUUCUUCUGAUCCUUUUCGCAAAAUCCUCCUCUUUAAUCCAUAUCUGGCCCUCCCCACACUACCCUGCAACUUCAUUGAACUGAUGCAGCUAGCACAGUUAAAUCUCUCUCUCUCUCUCUCUCUCUGAUUAAUUUAUGAAAGGAAUAUAUAUGUCUUCACUGUUUAGCUGAGCUAUAUUAGAACUUGAUAAGUGUCUCCAACUGCCAGUUCCAUGUCCAUAUUGCAGGUUUAACGGUUAAUCCUCCAGGCGAGAUUCUAUCUUUCAAAAUCUUGAGAUAUGAGCAGCCAGAUCGAAAAUGUGUCAAUUUACUUACGGUUGGUUUCAUUAAGAACCUGAUAACCCAAAGAAAAUCUAAACUUAAGUUGAUUUUUUUUCAAAUAUUUUUAUUCCAUCAAUUUGUGCUUGACAUCUCCUUGCCUGCGCCAAUAAUUGUACUUGACAUGACCUGGUCUGUAAUAAUGGGAGUCUUCAAAACGUCCUCUUCCAUGAUUGUAGCCACGACCUCUUCCUCUAGUUGGAAACGUGGUGUCUACACUUCUAUCAUCUUCAUGUUGAUUGCUUGAUGAGCCUCUUCCAAUUCCUUGAAAAUUAUUACCUCUUCCACGAGAAUUAAAACCACGUCCUCGUCCCCUUGCUCGACCAGCACUUCCAUUCCAACGUUGAAAUCUGUGAGCAUGAUUCCAAUUGCCUCCCGUGGAUGUGACUUAGGACUUGAGUGCCUGAUCAGGUUGAGAAGAGGCAGAGUUCCUCUUAUUAAUCAUGAACUCAUGAGCUUCCAAUCUUCCUUGCAAGUCAUCCAAACUGAGAGUAGACAAAUCUGUUGACUCUUCAAUAGCAGCUUCAACAUAGUCAAACUUCGGUGUCAGACUCCGAAGAACUUUUUCAACCACCCUUGCAUCUUCUAAAAUCUCCCCAUUUGAUGCCAUUUUAUUAACCACAGAAUUUACUCUGGUAAAAUACUCCCUUAUGCUUUCUGUCUCCUUCAUCUCCAACUUUUCGAACUCCGAUCUUAGAGUUUGAAGACGAACCAUUUUCACCUUCUCUUUGCCUUUGUAGGCUGCAUGAAUGAUGUCCCAGGCUUCCUUGGAGGUCUCAGCUUGAGCAAUUCUUUCAUACACAGACUCUUGAAUUGUCUGGUAAAUAUAGAAAAGCGCCUUGCUAUCCUUCUUUCGAUUCUCCUUCAAAGCAUUCCUCUGUUGUUGUGUUAAUGCACCUUCAUUCUCCGGUUCGACGUAUCCUUCUUCGACAACGUUCCAUAUCUCCAGGGACUUCAACAAUACGUUGACAUUCUUGCUCCAAUAAUCAUACUUCUCACCAUUGAAACGAGGAAUGAGUGAUAGCAUAUUGGAGUUGUUUUCAUUCGCCAUAGGAGCAGCACGAGCCUCUACAGCUCUGACACCAGAAUGUAGAAGGAAGAGAACAGAGCAAGUGUUUUGGAAAUGAGUUCUUAUUGAAUACUUCUACUCUCUCUUAUCUCAAACAGCAAGAUUACAUAGACUUAUAUAGGAACAAGACCUGACUCUAUAACUUCUUAACUUACCAAGACAUUAAACACCCACUUCAUGCUAAUGAAGAUGAAAAGACUCAUAACAGUUGAAACUGAAAAUACUGGAAACUAAAAGAUUAAAAACUGACAGCAGCCUUAUUCUAGGAAAACAAACCAGCAAAUUUGGUUUAAUUAGCCAACAUUCUGCUGGUUUAUUUGUGACUCAACGAAAGUAUGCUCAAGAUCUUCUUCAUAAGUCUGGAAUGGAUGAUUGCACUAUUUUCUCUACUCCUUGUAAGUCUGGCUUGAAGCUUGUCAAAGAUGAGGGCGUUCCUUUACAGACUCAUGAAAUCACUCAGUUUAGGAGUUUGGUUGGAUGUUUACAGUAUUUGACCUUCACAAGGCCUGAUAUUACCUAUGCUAUUAACUCAAUGUGCCAAUUUCUUCACUCUCCAACUCAAAUCCAUCUUUAUGCUGCUCAAAGAGUCUUGAGAUAUGUCAAAGGAACUAUUUCACAAGGGAUUCAUUUCAGAAGAGGUGUUAAUGCUAGUCAGCAUGACUCUUUUCCUUCUUCUCUUAAUCUUUCAGCCUUUUGUGAUGCAGACUGGGCAGGUGAUCCAAAUGAUCGAAAUCCACUACUGGAUUUGUCAUUUUGCUCAAUCAAUCUCCAAAAUCUUGGUGCAGUAAGAAACAAACAGCUGUGUCUAGAUCUUCUACAGAAGCUGAAUACAGAAGCAUGGCUGACACUACUUCUGAAAUCAUGUGGCUUAAACUUCUGCUUAAUGAUCUUCAUGUUUCACUUUCUGAUGUUCCAGUUCUUCACUGUGAGUCUGUGACAACAUCUCUGCCUUGGCUUUAGCCACUAAUCCAGUCUAUCACUCAAAAUUGAAGCAUAUUGAAGUUGAUGUUCAUUUUACUCGCAAUGCAGUCAAAGCGGCUCAAUCAAGUUGCAGUUUGUCACUUCCAGAAAUCAACUUGCAGACCUAUUCACAAAAGGCCUAUGUUCUCCUCAACAUCUUCAUCUCUGCUCCAGCUUGAUGCUUCUUACCAAUCAUCAAUCUGAGGGAGGAUGUUAAGAUAUAAUGGUCUUCAGAUUAUUUAGUCUUAAGCUUGUCUUAGCUGUUGAUUAAUCUUUUUGUUAAGCUCAUAAUGAGCAGCAGAUAAGAGCCACGUGUUGUUCAUGUGUGGUGCUUAUUGAUCCUAUAUAGGCUAUCUGUAACUCUCUUUGUUCAAUUAACCAGGAACCGAGAUAGUUUUCUCUGUAUUUUACUCCCUUCUUCUCUAAGCUAGUAUUAAGGACAAUGGAUACGGAAAAUUGAAUUCAGUUCUUAUUCUGAAGCUAGGAUAUUGAUGCUGUUCGUCUGAUCUUUUUCGCAAAAUCCUCCUCUUUAAUCCAUUAUUAAGAGUGAAUGUCAUUUUCAGACCUUUUCUUUUGUCUAAAUUAGCGAGUCUAAUCUUGGUUUAGGCUAAUGCAUGUUUAAUCCUAUAUUGGCCUUUCAGCUCAGCUCACGUGCUAGUUGUACUGUAGCUCUCAGCUCCUAUAUAUAUAGUUUGCGAUGUAACCCUAGAAGGGUAGAACAGCCAGCCUUUGUAUCUUCUUUUUCAUUCAAUAUAUCAAGUUUUCAUUUUUUUCAAACCUUUCAAUCUAUUUUUCUAUCAUCCAUAUCUGGCCCUCCCACACUACCCUGCAUAGUUAAAUCUCUCUCUCUCUCUCUGUGAUUAAUUUAUGAAAGGAAUAAAUAUGUCUUCACUGUUUAGCUGAGCUAUAUUAGAACUUGAUAAGUGUCUCCAACUGCCAGUCCCAUGUCCAUAUUGCAGGUUUAACGGUUAAUCCUCCAGACGAGAUUCUAUCUUUCAAAAUCUUGAGAUAUGAGCAGCCAGAUCGAAAAUGUGUCAAUUGACUUACGGUUGGUUUCAUUAAGAACCUGAUAACCGAAAGAAAAUCUAAACUUAAGUUGAUUUUUUUAAUAUUUUUAUUCCAUCAAUUUGAUGCUUAAAAUGUCAUCGAUGCUUAACAAAAUCUAAACUUAAUUAGUUGAUUGAUUAUGUUUUCAGAAAUCUAGAUGGGAUCGUUCUAGAUGGAGAAUCUGACAAGGAAAAUGGAGGAGACAGUAGCAGAAGGCCAGCCGUGGAGGACAUCCUUAAAAACCGUGAUAAGGCAAUGAAUAACGAAAAUUCUUCCAUUCACCUCGUGAAAAUUCACCAAGUGACGUGGCACAAGCACAGCCACAUAUUUAAGUGUAGAUUGAAAUUUGACUAACUUCAACUUUCUUCCGGUUAACGUGUGUUUGAACCUAGGAAUUUGUGAGUCGGAGAGGUAGAAAGAAGGGGGUAAAAUCUGCAGCUCCCGGCUCCCUGGGUUAAAAGUCUAUUUCUGUGUCGACGUCGAUGACUUAGUCGAUGGAGGAUGUCGGAGCUGAAAACACCCGCCGACCAGCACACCAUGUAGGCGGCGAUGCUAGCGCGCAGCCCCCGGCGCAUACCCGAAAAGACUCGCUCCGGCGACGAUGGACCCGGCCGCAGAUAUGGUCCGUCCUUGUGGAGGUGUAGGUUUGGGUGACGAACAAAAAAAAAAAUUUGAUUUGGGUGUGAACAGGAAGAACAACACCAGAGUUUGGGGAUAAAGAUUGGGGAUUGUUAAAGAAGCAAAAUCAGAAAAUAAAUUGAGGGUUUUAGGAGGUGAGGUAAAAUCAAUCUAAAUGGACUGGGGAAAGAGACCAGAUGAUGUUCUCAGCCAUAUAGAGUUGGAGGUAGAUUAGAGAAGAUGAUAGAUCUUCACCGUGAGCCAUUCACACACUCUUUUUGGGCAGAUUGGGUCUAGUCUAGAGAUUGGGCCCGAGAAUUCUUUUUGGGCUAGGGUAUUGGUUUUUAUUUAUUUUUUUAUUUUAGUUUUUUUUAUUUUAGACUUUUGGGUGUGUGUAUAUAUAUAUAAUUUAACGAAUUGUUCUGUCACCUAUAAAAAAAACAUCCAACAGUUUUUUUUUCGAUAAAAAAAAUGGAAUGAACUCUGUUUUUACCUUUAGAUUUAGUUGUUAAGGUUUAAAUGUAGUAAUGUACAUCUUAGUGACAUAAAAAUAGAAUUGUAAAUUUUGAAAAAUCAGCCGUUAGAUGUGAUCGGUAGAGUAAAAUACGGCUACGGUAAAAAAAUCACAUAUUUUUGAUAAAUUCUGGGAAACCUUAGAUGUGAUGCGGUCAACCCUAUUUACGUUUUUGUUUCCCUAUGGGAAACCUUAUUAUGGGAAGGUAAACCUCCCUAAAUUUUUAUAUAGGCUACUGCAUCUCAUGUAUGUGAGAGUGUGUGAGCAGAAUAAUCGACCAAAAUAAGUCACAAAAAGGUAGGUAAUAGUGUUUUCGUGUAAUAAGUGACAUUGAUUUAGGGUUGACCGCGUCGAUCAAUGCCCAAACGUUAUCGAAAAUAGGUGAAUUUUGUUUAUUUGACAUGUUUAAGUGUACUGAUUACACCUAACGGUUGAAUUUUCAUUUUGUGAAUUUUAGUCAUUUGAACCACAACAUAUCUAUUAAUGUGGUAUAAUUUGUUUAGUGUGUUAUAUGUAAGUGUACAUCUUUAUGAACUAACUAUAACUAGAAAAUAAGAUUUUAAAAAAUCGACCGUUAGAUGUGAUCAAUAUAGUGAAAUACGGCUACGGUAGAAAAAUCAUAAUUUUUGGAUAAUGUUUGGGUCCCGAUCGACGCGGUCAACACUAAUUACGUUUAUGUGUCCCUAUGGUGAGCCCUAUCUUCGGGAGGUAAUCUUCUCCUAAUUUUUAUAUGGGCUGCUACAUCUCAUCUAUGUGAGAGUAUGUAGGUCGAAUAAUCGACCAAAAUAAGCAACGAAGGGAUAUGUAAGAGCGUUUUCGUGUAAUAAGUGACGUAAGUUUAUAAUUGACCACGUUGAUCGAGACCCAAACCUUAUCGAAAAUAAGUGAAUUUUUUUCUAUAUACAUAUUUUAAGCAUACUUAUCACAUCAAACGGUUGAAUUUUCAUUUUAGGAAUAUUUGUUAUUGGAACCACAAUAUGCCUACUAAUGUGGUAUAACUUGUUUAGUGAGUUAUAUAUAAGUAUAUAUCUUUUGAACCAACUAUAUCUAGCAAAUAAAAUUUUUAAAAAUCGGCCGUUGGAUGUGAUCGGUAUACUGAAACACGGCUAUGGUAGAAAAUUCAUCCGUUUUUGUCAUUGUUUGAUUCUCGAUCUAGUGGAUACUACUUUGGUCAACCUAUUAGUUUAUAAACAUUCUUAAAUUUGACUGAAAAGAUUAAAGCCCAAAAAUGAGCGAAAUUUCAUAAUUUUUUUUCCCAAAGUUGAUGGUAUCAUUCUCAUAUCAUCCAAUGGUUGGAUUAUCCUAAUUCAAACGUGUUAGUGGUGUUCAUCUUAAAAAAAAAUACCAAUUAAGUUGAAAAAGAUAGUAUAAUCAGAAUCUAAUGAAUAGUGAAACGGUGUCAUUUCUUUUUUUAAAAAAAUAAAAAGAAGAAGGAGACGACUUGUAGGGUUUGACUUGAGAAACAACCCACUUGUACGUUUAGGAAAUAUAUUUGGCCGCCUCCCCUCCACAAUUGACCAAGAACAGCACUGCCGCAUGCCCGCAUUCAAUUGAUUUUGUCAACUACUCGGUAUGAGUUUCUUCCUUUCAUUCGAAAUCUAGCUUUCCGUUGUUACAUUGUAUUCUGUAUAACUGAAGUUCUGCAAAAUCUUUUGGUAGUUUAUCUCUUUUGCAGAUCUCCAAAGUCGUUGGUUUCAUGGAUGAUAAUGGCUUGCGGUUUUCAGAAUCUAAUUAUACUGAAAUCAACAAAAAUCCAACUUACCCAUUAGAAUUUCAUGACCAGAUUCCAACUUUCGGGUGAUUCACCAGAUUCCAACUUACCCAAAAUCUCAACGUUUCGUAAAUUGCAUCUACAGAUGAUGAAUUUCCGACGACGCUCGAAAAUCGCCGAACAACAUAAAUUCGAUAUGUUGCCCAAAUUCGAUUGCCCUGAAGGCUCUGCUUUGCCUUUUUUUUUUUUUCGUUUGUUUGGAGGCUUGCUCUGUGUUUGGAGGCUAGUUGGUGUUUGUUUUAAACCGAUACCCUAUUGUAACUCCUUUUUACCAUAACUUGAUCGUUGCCUUUUUUUUUUCCAAGCACAGUCUGUUAGCCACGCGCUGUUAAUACCUCCGUUGGUAAAGCAUCACUAUGUGAGCUGAAGAACCUCCGAAUGAAUAAAUGGAACACGCUCUUCAUCAUUGUCUGUGCAUUUGCGGUCUUCGUUGAUCCUUUGUUCUGUUAUAUCUAUGUCGUUAGCGAGGACGAUAUGUGCCUCUCUUACGACCGGAAGUUGUUCUACACAUAUUUUGGUUUACGAACAGCCUGUGAUGUCUUUUAUGUAAUCGACAUUAUCAUUUUCCUCUGUGGAAUUUGCAAGAAACGUAAAGGUAAAAUAUUUGGUGCAUGCUGGAAGCCAAGCAGUGAGAAAAAAAGGGCACUUACCUUGAAAGAAAUAUUCAGAAAACGGUGCUUGCUUCCGUUAUCCAUUCUACCUCGCAUUUUAGUUUCCCUUCCCAUUCCAGCGGUAAGAGAACCCCUAGCCUUUUCAAUAUACUAAGCAAACUUUACCCAUAAAUGGAUAUGACCUGGGGUUUGCCAAAUAAAUAUGCUUAUUGUUCUCUGUCAUUGGAUUCAAUUGUUACACAAUAAUUAGUUUUAACUUUUGGCUUAACUGAUUGCAGGUGCUCGUGGGCAUGUUCUUUCUUUUUUUUUUAUCAAGUUUCAAAUUUUCAUCGAUCCAUAUUAUGCUACUAUUAUUAUCACCCCUUUUCAAUAUACACUACGGAUCUUUCUCAUCUAUGGAUCUCAAAGGUGACGUCCUAUCAAAAAGAGUACAAGAGGAAGAUGGCUUAAACCUUCAUUGGAUUUUCUUCCCUUCAUCCUUGCCUCUCAAGUAAUAAAUCAAUGGAAUAAGUGUAAAUAAUUAUAUUUUUCAAUGUAUAUAUAGUCUAGCUCAUUACGAAAUCUCCCUACUCUCAUUCUCAAAAAGAAUUUUCUUACUCAACGGACAACUUAAUGAUUUGUCUUUCAGUUAUUUAGAGCCAUGUGGUAUCGUCUUACUGUACAACGACAGAUAGAUUGUUGGAAGCCACACUGUAAAGAAAUUAGAGGUUCAGAGUGUGAUUUACCUAUUGGUGAUUUCAUAUGGUCAAUGCCGAUUGAGGUCAACACCAUGCGUGUGCAAGAACUAUGCCCUACAAAAGUUACAAAUCCAAAAAUCUUCGACUUUGGUAUAUAUUCUUAUGUUGUUCAGUCCAAUGUGACAGGUUCAUCCCAUAUUUUGCGAAAGAUGUCGCUAUCUUUCUGGUGGGCUCUAAGGAAUUUAAGGUUAGUUCAUCUAGAGAUAUAUAAGUCUAUUUUUGAUGGUAUAUAAAUUAUAGAAAAUGUUAUUAUCGAUCACAAUAAUUUUGUAAUGAGCGAUAGAAUCUAAUUAUUAACGAACCGUUUGUUUCUUUUCUUUUCAGUUCUUUUGGUUCAAACCUCAACACGAGCAUGGAUACGCUAGAAAACUUCUUUUCAAUUGUAAUAUCUAUAUGUGGCAUGGCACUUUUUUUAGUAUAUCUCAAUGCAAGAGUGCAGGUUGGUGCUGGAAUCAGACUUCGAUCAUAUGACAUCACAUAAUUAAGGGGAACACAUCAUUUAGAUUUAGUACUUACUGAUCAUCAAACUAACUAGCACCUAUUCUUAAGAAGCAAACUGAUCAUGAGCAUUUUUUACCCAAAAAAAAAAAACUAGACCAGGAGCAUGCAUGCAUAUAUACUUCAACAAGAUAUAUUUCUUCCAAGAAUUAGUAAUAUCCUUUAGAGUAUUAUGAACUCAUCUAUUGUUGUUAUUUGAUAUAUCUGGAAUGAUCAUAUAUGUAGGAGUCACAAUCAAGGUCAAAUCAGCAUAAACUGAAAGAAAAGAAGCAAUUGAUGAAACCGGAUAUAGAUUUGUGGUUAUCUAAAAAUGAUCUCUCCCACGUGACCAAGGACUCUAAGGAUCUGAAGACAACGACGAAGAAAAAGACUAUAAAGACAACGAUGAAGAAAAAGACUUUGAAGACGGUGAUCAUUGAAAACAUAGACAAACUUGAAGAAAACAAACAAAUUGAUUUGCAAAAUAUCAUCAAUGUUCUUCCCAUAAAAUUCAAAAAAAAAACAUCACCCGUCUCCUCUGUUUGGCUUCACUAACAAAGGUGAGUAUAUUUUUUGUUUUCUCUCUCAAGGGAAACUUUGAGAACAUGUAUGUAACUGAUUUUCAUCCUUAGGUGCCAACGCUUGCAAAUUUGAAUGCCAAAAUGUUGAAAAUGAUUUGUGAGCAUCUGAAGCCAGUCAUUUACACCGAAGAUAACUACAUUGUUCAAGAUGGGAAACCACUUGGUAUGAUGUUUUUCAUCACGCAAGGACUCACAUGGAGCUACACAACCGAACACAUCAAUGGUGGAAGAACAAGCUUUGAUUCUUCAAGCAAUGAGUGGUUAAAGAAAGGUGAUUUUUACGGAGAAGUGCUGUUGAAUUGGGCAUUCAAGUCUCCCUCCUUCUCUGCUUUACCAAUCUCCACUAGAACUGUUAUGUCUCAAGAAAAAGUCGAAGCAUUCACUUUAAGGGCUAGCGACUUGAAGAGUAUAGUCUACAAAUUCUGGUGGCAUUUUACCAAAGAGCUCGAGCAAGUGGAGCUAGAACAGUGGGAGAACGCAGCAGCUUCUUCAAUACAAGGAGCUUGGCGCAACCGUUUGGCAAAGGCUAGGCAUUCAAAUUUCUGGGACAAAUUUACCGCCCAUUAUUACUGUAUAUUAUGUAAAUACUCUACUGAAACAAAGAUUUUCAUUUUGUAGUUAUUUUUAUUUUUAGGUGUUACAAGGUUUUUAUUUUAUUUUAUUGAGUUGUUGUAACGUUAUAUCUCAAAAGCACACUCUUUCUUCUCCUCCAUCUUCGUUUUGAUGAGUGAGCUCUCAUGGCGACGAACAGGAGACUUCUCCUCCAUCUUCAUUAGUUCAUCUUUGUUGAACUCCGGCGAACCCCGGUCAGAUAUCUUCAUCUCCCCUUUCCUCUUCAACUUUUCUGAAAAUAAAUCUAAGCCGUAUCAAACCAUGAAUCCAUCCAGUGCGCGCUAAUGAUAUAUCCUCUGAAUUUGGGAACUGUGAUAUGGCUGAAGCUCCGAUUAAUUCGUUAUCCCUUGCACGCCAAAAGUCUGAGGCUUUUGAAGGUCAGACUUAUGUAUCUAAACCCAUACCCUCACUAGUAAACACGGCUCCUCUGGGAUUUAAUCACUUUUCCGAUUUCAGUUUCUGGGCCAUUCAAUAUUAAUUUGUAUUUGAAUUUGAUUUGGGCUAGGAGUAACUAAGAGAAAUUUAACCCACCCACUAAAUUCAGGAUGUAUAUUACUGCCGACGAGAAUCUGAUACCAUAUAGGUUUAAUUUGACAUCUGGGUGGACUGCAUAAUUAUAUCUCAUCUUCUUGUUCAUGAUUUGGUUGAUAAGCAGCAAAAGUAAAAGUGAAUCUAUGUUUCAGAUUACAAAGAAUCUUUAUGAUCAACAUACAGUCAUACACCAUAUGAUUGAUUAUCUGUGCAUAUUGUAGAACCCAUUAUAGAUCUGAUCAAAGCCUCCCAAUUUAUAUUCAUCCAUUUCAUCAUUUUGUAGAUUUGAACAUCUGUACAAAAUAACAUCAAUACAAAUUCAAAUCCGAGCUGCAAACUGGUGGGUGGCGUUGAUCAAUCAAUUUAGCUUUUAGGAAAACUUAUUUGCCAUUGAAGAAGCUAAUUUGAUUAAUUUUAGUUCAUAGAGACGAAAAGAAACUAAUAUGAAACGGAAGAAAAAGACAGGAGAAUAAAGCAGACAAUCAAUUGAAGAAGACGAUGAUCAAGAAGAACCACGGCGCAGCUGCUGUGGUUGUUGGUGGUGAGAGCGGAUUGCUCUGGUACUCCUUCAGAUAAUAGAAAUUAGAAAAGGUGUUUUGGAGAGGAAGAGGCAGGAAGAGGCAAGAAGAGGUGAAGAGAUGGUGUUUCCUCGGUACUCUUUCGUCCUUAAACGGCGUUUUGUCAUUAAUUAACUCAUUUAAUGAGUUUUAGUGGGUUGUUGCUGAGGUGUUAUGUUCCUGACCUUUAGAUAUUGAAUGAAUGGACGUGAUUUGAAGUCAAGGAUAAACAAGUACAAGAGGCAGCCAAGGAGAGGAUCCUUAUCCUAUUUUCAUACGUUUGUAUCCAUGGAGUCAUCUCAGAUAUAGAGAUCCAGUAAUAAGGAUAAUUGCUUGUUUAUACCAUUUUAAUCCUUUUUUUAACAUUUGAGUUGGAUCAGAAGGAUAAUUGCUUGUUUAUACCAUUUUAAUCCUUUUUUUAACAUUUGAGUUGGAUCAGAUGACUAGUUAUUUCAAAUUCAUAUCAAAUAUACGCAUCUACUCAUUGUCUACAGUUUAUAACAUUUGAGUUGGAUCAGAUGACUAGUUAUUUCAAAUUCAUCAAAUAUAUGCAUCUACUCAUUUGAAAUGACUCAUAGUGAGAGGACCUCGGCCCGCUUUUAAAAAAGUGUAUUGUUGAUAUGAAUUUGAAAUAAGAGGAAAAUGCAGCGUCGGUACCCCAAUUUUGAUGGCAUGGUCAAAGUGGUACCUAUACUUUAAAAACUAUCAAUGUGGUACCCAAACCUCUAUUUCGCUACCAAGGAAAGGCUUGAGGCCAAUUUCCGUAACUGUGCCGUUAGUUUGUUGACAUGGCCGACAUAUGGCCCACCAAAAAAAGGUGCAAUGACAAAAAUAACUUUCUAACUCUCACCAAAACCGUUUUCCUUCUAUAAGCUUUAAAUUUGAAUUUUCCUGGGUAUCACAUUGAUCAGUUCAGAAAAGUUUAGGCACUGCUGCUGUGUUUAUCUGCUGACAAGAAAUAUUAUGCAAUAGCUGGAAAUGUAACAUAGAAAUUCAAACAUAGAACUAAAAAGGGCUGUCAAUAUCACUGAAUUAAAACUAACAUCAACAUGAGAAACAUACUAUACAUCAUAAUUCAAGCUUAAUUGGUUUCCAAAAACUCAAAGAACCACAUUGUUUGCAAAAAAUUGAUUCCAAACCAUGAUGAAGUACACAUUAUGUUUCUCUAAUUUAAAAGCCAACACAUUCACUAUGUAGAACCCCUUGCUGUAUGAUUUUGGCUGCUUUGAGUAGGAGGCUGUGUUGAAGCUGAUGCACUACCAUUUCCAGCAGAACUACCCUCCAUUGCCAACUUCUNNNNNNNNNNNNNNNNNNNNAAUCACCAUCAGAUACAUACCUUUGCUAAGAUGUCUAGACUCAACUAUACAAAAGAUUACUCCUAAAAUCACUAAAUAUCCAUAAGUCCACCCAUUCCUUUACCCAUGAUGCAUAGCAUGCUAUAUGCAGACAUGCAUACUAAUAUGAAUCAACACAAAUCUUGUACAUGGAAUCCAAAUAUCAUCAAUGAAAUCAAGACAAACAGUGUUAACUAAAAUGACAUAACAACUAAGCACACAAAAUCAGUAUCCAAUCAUAAAAAGUUCUCCCCAAGAUACCUUUGUCAAUUCUCACAGUAAGUUCCUGACCAAGACAACAAGUACUUUUUAGUAAUGCAACUCAUUAGUUCCAGUACUCUAAAUAUAAAGUAUUUAACUGAUAAAACACCCAAACAAACAUGACAAGUCAGUUGAUCCGAAAACAAGUUUACUGAACACAAAGAACUACUGCAGUUUUCUGACCCAGUCAUCUUCACCACAAAAACUGUACAAAUCCAUAAGGAAUUUGACUUCAUGGCCUUCUAAAGAAAUAAACUAGACAUCUUAGAGAAGCUUUCAGAAUUUGAAUCACCUCAAAAACAAAUUUCUGUAAUUAGAUAUGCAAUUUCAAAGUUCAGUAACAGUUUCAGGUUUUUCUGGAAAUUUUGCUAAAAGUGUCUAAACUUUGUUUUCAAAAACAAAACAGAAGAUCUAUGUGAUACAAAACUUCUAGGAACUGAACAUAAACACUCCAAUGUUUCAAAAAGAAGGAAAAAGAUACAAAACUUGCAACUUACAGACUAACUAAGAUCACCACAAAGAUAGCUAACAAAAUGUAAUAUACAACAGUCUUAACUUCUAUAAUUUCAGCAAAUUUAAAUCUAAAAUCAUGGUUUCUACUUUCAAUAGUAGAAACUAAUAACAUGUAUAAGAACCUCAUAAUCUAAUCAUUACAUAUGUACAAUCUCAUAUCAAAACAACAAAGAUUCAAAAACAAAGAGUACAAUUAAAAACAGAAAUCUGAAAUCACAAAACAACUUCCUAACUUUCUGACCAGUAAACUUUAUGGCUAAAACGACACAGCUUGACUGGGAAUUUACAGUUGGUGUCUUCAUAACAACUGUAAAAGACAACCUAAAGAUCAAUCAGGAACUGGAAUCGCAACAAAAGGAAUUUUUUACAAAUACUUAUGAUUUUCGGAAGUUGUAGACCUGCAUCAGGAAAAUUACUGAUUUUGGCUGAAAUCAGUUUUUGUUUUACAAACUGACUAAGAACCUAACCAAAUAGCUGAAAUUCACAAAAUUGAUCAUCUAUUUCAGCACUACGCGGACAAUUACACAACUCGUAGUUAUCAAAUCAUGUCCAAAUUGAAGCAAACAAAGUUAGGGUAUUGAAAAUUGGUAUUACCUUCAGAUCCGAAAGAAGAUUUGAAGCUAUAUCGAAAUCAUUAUAGAUCAACGCCGCUUUGAAUCGCCCGAAGUUCUGAGUCAGCUAGUUCAGCUUCGCCUCCAUUCUCGUCUAAUUUGCUUCCCUCUCUGGUUUUCCCUUUCGCUUUUCUCACUCUGCAAAUCACUCCUGGGUCUUUCAAUUUGGAGACGAACAAGAGGACAGAGUUUGUGGCCAACUAGAGAGAAGAGAAGAGGAAGAUUGGGGGGUCUCUUUGGGUACGAAUAUCGAGAAGAUGGUGGACUGCGGAAUUUCGAUAGAUCGAUCGAGGUUUAAGUUUGAGAGAGAAUGAAGAAGAUGUAGGUGUUUGGGAUCUAGGUUUUCAAGAGAAAAAGUGAUGAACAUGCAGGUGCGAUUUAGAUUAGGUUUCAGAGAAGAGAAGAGAAAAGGGAGUUUGGGAGGAGAUGGGGGAGGGAAAUCGAGUUUUGACUUGAUUUGGGUGUAGACUGUGUAAAAUGUCGUUUUUGCCCUUUUUUUGGUGGACCCGAUGCUGGCCACGUUAACAAACAGACGGCACCGUGACAAAAAUUGGCCUUAGGCCUUUCCUUGGUAGCAAAAACAAAGUUUAGAUACCACAUUGAUAGUUUUUAAAGUCUGGGUACCACUAUGACCGUGCCACAAAAGUUGGGGUACCGGUGCUGUCAAAACUUCUUGAAAUAAUUGAGUCAUUUCAUAUACCUUCUGUCUUGUAGUUUGCUGUAUUCUGUUUCUUGAGCAAAACUUGCCAUGCUGUUAACCGAAAUCUGCAGAUUUGCCUUGUGCCCUUGUCAAUAGUAAUAUUCUGAAUACAACUGUUCUUCAGGGCUGGUGGUUGGAAAUCGAACUUAAGCCUCAUUGAAAUUGUUAGGCCCCGCUCACCUGCGGCAGAGUAUUUACGGUACAGAAAGGGACAAAUCAACGAUGACCUUCAGAUUUAAAUAAAACUCAUCUGAGGGCUUAAACAAAUUCUAUCCCGAUUCGUGAGUUCAUACUUGAUCAUUCCUUGCUCUCCUUUUAGUCUUCUCUCUCUCCUCGCCGACCACACCAUGAGUCUACGUACGAUCAAAAGCUGAGAGAUAUGACGGCGGUUUAGGUCGAGGAGGAGGAUGGGCAGUUCGUGACGGUGAAUGCGAGGUGACGUCAGAAGAUGCGCGGGCGCCCUGGGCCUCCGAAGCGGCGGCGCUUGGGAUCUCUGUACCGGUUAGAAACCUUGGCAUCAGCAGCUCCAAUGUCUACCUCAUUCUGCCUAACCAACCACCCAGAACCUCUAUCUGCAAUAAAUUCCUAAAAUAAAAAUAAUAAUAAUAAAAUAAAAAUAAUAAAAACCAAACUUUCGAAUCAAACACUCAACACAACACCCACAACCAAAUCGAACCAAUCAACCCUCACUAUCUAUCAAUUCAGCUCAGAAAUCAAGAAUUGAUCCAAUCAAACAGACCCAGGAAAAAAAGCUGAGAUUAAUUAGAUCAAAACAUCAAUACCCAAGAAAGGUAAUCUAUAAGGGAUCCAAAUUUACUUGGAAGGGAGGAGGAGCAACCCAUUUGCGAGAUCAGAGUUUAGAGUUUUCGGGUCAUAAUCGUUCAAAUUGAAGAAACCCCAAAGAAUUUGACUCGUUGCUCUCCGUCAUAGCUAUGGUAGUGGUGGUGUUGCUGUGCACCUUGGCUGGGUUUUUUGACCGGUACGGAGAGAGAGAGAGAGAGAGAGAGAGAGAGAGAGAGAGAGAGAGAGAGNNNNNNNNNNNNNNNNNNNNNNNNNNNNNNNNNNNNNNNNNNNNNNNNNNNNNNNNNNNNNNNGAGAGGACUGAAAGGAGAGUAAGGAUGAUCAUGUGUGAACUCACGAAUUGGGGUAGAAUUUGUUUCGGCUCUCAUAUCAGUUUCAUUUAAAUCUAAAGAUCAUUGUUAAUCUGUUCCUUUCUGUCCUGUAAAUACUCUCCCGCAGGUGAGCGGGCCUGUUAAAUUGUUUAAAGGAAAGAAAAAACAUUUGCAUGAACUAGAAUAUUUUCCAGCUGAAAUGAAAUAUUACAAUUUUGAUAAACCUCAUGGUAAUAUAUUCAGAACAAGAUAAAUAGUAUAAUGCCAAUGACAUUGUUAAAGCUACAACCAGAUCCAUGAAUUAUUACAGAAAAGAAUACCACUAGUAGCUCACAAAGACACAGUUCAAAUUCACAGGAUCACAAUGUUGUCACAUAAUAUAUCCUAUCCUAAUCUUUGACACUAAUCUACCGAUCCUAGAAACCUAGACCAUAGCAGUAGGGCUGGUCUUCACUCAAUCGGUUGGAGAUACACCUGGUGAGCAACAUUGAUCAUUAUUUCAAGUUUUCAACUACUAUAAAGCAAGGUGGUUUGGUGUCAAAGGCUUCACCAAGUUUAGUUUACCUGUUAUACACUGGCACAUAUGGUGCAAGAAAUUAACUAUAACAUUCUAUAGCACAAA